Molecule: ribosomal RNA, 207 nt
Filed under: uncultured bacterium
Lineage: Bacteria
Description: partial 16S ribosomal RNA
Rfam family: Bacterial small subunit ribosomal RNA
Source: RNAcentral
UCUCAGUUCGGAUUGGAGUCUGCAACCCGACUCCAUGAAGCUGGAUUCGCUAGUAAUCGCGCAUCAGCCACGGCGCGGUGAAUACGUUCCCGGGCCUUGUACACACCGCCCGUCAAGCCAUGGGAGCCGGGGGUACCUGAAGUGCGUGACCGCAAGGAGCGCCCUAAGGUAAAACCGGUGACUGGGGCUAAGUCGUAACAAGGUAAC